UACGGAGGAUCCAAGCGUUAUCCGGAAUCAUUGGGUUUAAAGGGUGCGUAGGUGGGCAGGUAAGUCAGUGGUGAAAUCUCCGGGCUUAACCCGGAAACUGCCAUUGAUACUAUUUGUCUUGAAUACUGUGGAGGUCAGCGGAAUAUGUCAUGUAGCGGUGAAAUGCUUAGAUAUGACAUAGAACACCAAUUGCGAAGGCAGCUGGCUACACAAAUAUUGACACUGAGGCACGAAAGCGUGGGGAUCAAACAGG
This 253-nucleotide ribosomal RNA is filed under the name uncultured bacterium. RNAcentral's name for it is "partial 16S ribosomal RNA". It matches the Rfam family "Bacterial small subunit ribosomal RNA", at positions 524 to 776 of the family's 1533-position model. The record is from RNAcentral.